RNAcentral lists this ribosomal RNA (500 nucleotides) under uncultured bacterium. RNAcentral's name for it is "partial 16S ribosomal RNA". It matches the Rfam family "Bacterial small subunit ribosomal RNA", at positions 30 to 523 of the family's 1533-position model. The record is from RNAcentral.
AUUGAACGCUGGCGGAAUGCUUUACACAUGCAAGUCGAACGGCAGCACGGACUUCGGUCUGGUGGCGAGUGGCGAACGGGUGAGUAAUGUAUCGGAACGUGCCCAGUCGUGGGGGAUAACGUAGUGACAAUGACGCUAAUACCGCAUACGAUCUAUGGAUGAAAUCGGGGGAUCGCAAGACCUCGCGCGAUUGGAGCUGCCGAUAUCAGAUUAGGUAGUUGGUGGGGUAAAGGCCCACCAAGCCAACAAUCUGUAGCUGGUCUGAGAGGACGACCAGCCACGCGGGAACUGAGCCACGGUCCAGACUCCUACGGGAGGCAGCAGUGGGGAAUUUUGGACAAUGGGCGAAAGCCUGAUCCAGCCAUUCCGCGUGCAGGAUGAAGGCCCUCGGGUUGUAAACUGCUUUUGUACAGAACGAAAAGGUUUCUACUAAUACUAGGAGCUCAUGACGGUACUGUAAGAAUAAGCACCGGCUAACUACGUGCCAGCAGCCGCGGUAA